AAUAGAUACCCUGGUAGUCCACGCCCUAAACGAUGCAUAUUUGGUGUAGGUCAUUCGGUUGAUCUGUGCCGGAGCUAACGCGUUAAAUAUGCCGCCUGGGGAGUACAGUCGCAAGGCUGAAACUCAAAGGAAUUGACGGGGGCCCGCACAAGCGGUGGAGCAUGUGGUUCAAUUCGACGCAACGCGAAGAACCUUACCUGGGCUCGAACGGCUGGUCAACGAUCGUGGAAACACGGUUACUCCGCAAGGAGGUCCAGUCGAGGUGCUGCAUGGCUGUCGUCAGCUCGUGUCGUGAGAUGUUGGGUUAAGUCCCGCAACGAGCGCAACCCUUGUCCUGUGUUGCCAUCCCGCAAGGGGGGACUCGCAGGAGACCGCCAGCGAUAAGCUGGAGGAAGGUGGGGAUGACGUCAAGUCCUCAUGGCCUUUAUGUCCAGGGCUACACACGUGCUACAAUGGCCGGUACAAAGCGCAGCUAAGUCGCGAGACGGAGCCAAUACGCAAAAAACCCGGUCUCAGUUCGGAUU
RNAcentral lists this ribosomal RNA (524 nucleotides) under uncultured bacterium. RNAcentral describes it as "bacterial SSU rRNA". It matches the Rfam family "Bacterial small subunit ribosomal RNA", at positions 777 to 1299 of the family's 1533-position model. The record is from RNAcentral.